AUCUUCUACUGUGCAAGAAAAAAAGAAACAAGGAGUUUACCCUAAAGCUAAAGGGGGAAUAAGAGCUAACUCACAAAUAACCCAGAAUUUAGUCCACCUACAUUGUAACUCAAAAGCCAGCUAUAAAAAGUGGAGGGGAAGGAGACAAAAGGAUUUUAUUUCGUGGACAAGUGCACACAGCAUUCAGCUUACAGCUUGACCAGAUAUACCAUUUGUGGAUUUUUGUGGGUUUUCCCCUUUCAUUUAAAAUUAAAGAGAGGCCUUCUAGACAUUCAAACCCUCUUGACUACAUUUCCUUAUUUAGCUGUCUCUGAAAACUCUCUAAUUGGGGGGCUCCUGGAAUUAACGGCAGGGCAGUGCUUUGAUUUCAGCUCCAGUGAGGAAUUAGAAGGGAGAGAAGCUCCUCAGUUUCCUUGUGAAGUGACCUCCAUCUCAUCUACAUACCAGAACCCUGGAGACUUAUUUAAAACACAGAUGCCAGGCUAACUCCUCUCCUGAAAGUAGCUUCUUUGGGGCGUAGGGGGACCAGAGGAGUGAACACAGUUACUGAUUUUCAGGAAAUGCAGAGGAUGGAAAAAUAAUGAGGUGUGGGGUUGCAACUGGUAAUAUUUGGAACAUGGGAGAAUCUGUGAGUGACCAGCUAUUUGCAAUUACAAGGAAGAAGGAGAGACUUCUUACAGCAGCAGUUCUCAAGAUUGUCUGAACAUUGGAAUCACCUGAGGAGCUUCAAAAACUCCUGAUGCCUGGGUUCCACCUCCACAGAGUGAUUUAAUUAUGGACUCACGGAUUCCUUGUUUAUUUAAUGAAUUAUCACCCAUUACUGUCAUUGUCUUUUUGAAACCAGCUCUUGUAUUGUUUCCAUAUGUCCCCAUUAGUUUUUAAAUGGUGUCUUUAUUUUCUGCUACAAGAUAUUUUAAGCUCAUCAGAUAUAUUUGCUUCUCCAGACCCGGAGUUGACCAUUUCUCCAAGGAGCACCUAUUGCCUUUAAUUCGAAAUGCCCCAUGGACUGUAGCACGCCACGCUUUCCCGUCCUUCACUGUUUCCUGGAGUUUGCUCAAACUCAUGUUCAUCGAGUUGGUGAUGCCAUCCAACCAUCUCAUCCUCUGUUGCCCCCUUCUCCUCCAGCCUUCAAUCUUUCCCAGCAUCAGGGUCUUUUUUUAAUGACCCGGCUAGGGUAACUGAAAGCCAUUGAAGGGCUCAAGCAGGAAAGAGACAAUAUUUGAUCUAUAU
Bos taurus (domestic cattle) is the source of this 1230-nucleotide long non-coding RNA. NCBI's taxonomy places the organism in Eukaryota, Metazoa, Chordata, Mammalia, Artiodactyla, Bovidae. The record is from Ensembl.